This 90-nucleotide transfer RNA is filed under the name Chloroflexota bacterium. Its description in RNAcentral is "tRNA-Ser". It matches the Rfam family "tRNA". Rfam says of the family: Transfer RNA (tRNA) molecules are approximately 80 nucleotides in length. Their secondary structure includes four short double-helical elements and three loops (D, anti-codon, and T loops). The record is from RNAcentral. Lineage: Bacteria; Bacillati; Chloroflexota.
GGGGGGGUCGCAUAGCGGUCUAGUGCGCCCGCCUGCUAAGCGGGUUGGGGUUGUAAAAGCCUCUCGAGGGUUCGAAUCCCUCCCCCUCCG